Molecule: ribosomal RNA, 701 nt
Filed under: Actinomyces sp. oral taxon 169
Lineage: Bacteria; Bacillati; Actinomycetota; Actinomycetes; Actinomycetales; Actinomycetaceae
Description: bacterial SSU rRNA
Rfam family: Bacterial small subunit ribosomal RNA
Source: RNAcentral
CCGCGUGAGGGAUGGAGGCCUUCGGGUUGUAAACCUCUUUCGCCAGUGAAGCAGGCCUGCUCCUUGUGGGUGGGUUGACGGUAGCUGGAUAAGAAGCGCCGGCUAACUACGUGCCAGCAGCCGCGGUAAUACGUAGGGCGCGAGCGUUGUCCGGAAUUAUUGGGCGUAAAGAGCUCGUAGGCGGCUGGUCGCGUCUGUCGUGAAAUCCUCUGGCUUAACUGGGGGCUUGCGGUGGGUACGGGCCGGCUUGAGUGCGGUAGGGGAGACUGGAACUCCUGGUGUAGCGGUGGAAUGCGCAGAUAUCAGGAAGAACACCGGUGGCGAAGGCGGGUCUCUGGGCCGUUACUGACGCUGAGGAGCGAAAGCGUGGGGAGCGAACAGGAUUAGAUACCCUGGUAGUCACGCCGUAAACGUUGGGCACUAGGUGUGGGGGCCUUUUCCGGGUCUUCCGCGCCGUAGCUAACGCAUUAAGUGCCCCGCCUGGGGAGUACGGCCGCAAGGCUAAAACUCAAAGGAGUUGACGGGGGCCCGCACAAGCGGCGGAGCAUGCGGAUUAAUUCGAUGCAACGCGAAGAACCUUACCAGGGCUUGACAUGUGCCGGUCGGCUCCGGAGACGGGGUUUCCUCUUGUGGGGUCGGUUCACAGGUGGUGCAUGGGUGUCGUCAGCUCGUGUCGUGAGAUGUAGGGUUAAGUCCGCAAG